UACGGAGGGUGCAAGCGUUGUCCGGAAUCACUGGGCGUAAAGGGCGCGUAGGCGGCCCGGUAAGUAGGGGGUGAAAUCCUGCGGCUUAACCGCAGGGCUGCCUUCUAAACUGUCGGGCUCGAGCACGGUAGAGGCAGAUGGAAUUCCCGGUGUAGCGGUGGAAUGCGUAGAGAUCGGGAAGAACAUCAGUGGCGAAGGCGGUCUGCUGGGCCGGUUGCUGACGCUGAGGCGCGACAGCGUGGGGAGCAAACAGG
Molecule: ribosomal RNA, 254 nt
Filed under: uncultured bacterium
Lineage: Bacteria
Description: partial 16S ribosomal RNA
Rfam family: Bacterial small subunit ribosomal RNA
Source: RNAcentral